RNAcentral lists this unclassified non-coding RNA (432 nucleotides) under uncultured Glomus. Its description in RNAcentral is "SSU rRNA". It matches the Rfam family "Eukaryotic small subunit ribosomal RNA", at positions 569 to 1010 of the family's 1831-position model. The record is from RNAcentral. Lineage: Eukaryota; Fungi; Glomeromycota; Glomeromycetes; Glomerales; Glomeraceae.
AGCAGCCGCGGUAAUUCCAGCUCCAAUAGCGUAUAUUAAAGUUGCUGCAGUUAAAAGCUCGUAGUUGAAUUUCGGGAUCAUCAUGUCGGUCGUGCCUCGGUACGUACUGGCAUUGUUGGUUUCUACCUUCUGACGAACCAUGAUGUCAUUUAUUUGGUGUCGUGGGAAAUCAGGACUGUUACUUUGAAAAAUUGAGUGUUUAAAGCAGGCUCACGCUUGAAUACAUUAGCAUGGAAUAAUGAAAUAGGACGUUUGAUUCUAUUUUGUUGGUUUCUAGGAUCGACGUAAUGAUUAAUAGGGAUAGUUGGGGGCAUUAGUAUUCAAUUGUCAGAGGUGAAAUUCUUGGAUUUAUUGAAGACUAACUACUGCGAAAGCAUUUGCCAAGGNUGUUUUCAUUAAUCAAGAACGAAAGUUAGGGAUCGAAGACGAUCA